GCGAAUGGCUCAUUAAAACAGUUAUAGUUUAUUUGAUAAUUGAAUUCUACAUGGAUAACCGUAGUAAUUCUAGAGCUAAUACAUGCUGUAAAACCUGACUUUUCGGAAAGGUUGUAUUUAUUAGAUAUCAAACCAAUAAUCUUUCGGGAUUAUUGUGAUGAUUCAUAAUAACUGAUCGGAUCAAGGUGUACCUUGAUAGAUCAUUCAAGUUUCUGCCCUAUCAGCUUUCGAUGGUAGUGUAUUGGACUACCAUGGCAGUCACGGGUAACGGAGAAUUAGGGUUCGAUUCCGGAGAGGGAGCCUGAGAAACGGCUACCACAUCUACGGAAGGCAGCAGGCGCGUAAAUUACCCAAUCCUGAUUCAGGGAGGUAGUGACAAGAAAUAACAACUCGGGGCCUCACGGCUUACGAGAUUGCAAUGAGAACAAUUUAAAUCUCUUAGCGAGGAACAAUUGGAGGGCAAGUCUGGUGCCAGCAGCCGCGGUAAUUCCAGCUCCAAUAGCGUAUAUUAAAAG
This 515-nucleotide ribosomal RNA is filed under the name uncultured eukaryote. RNAcentral's name for it is "SSU rRNA". It matches the Rfam family "Eukaryotic small subunit ribosomal RNA", at positions 89 to 610 of the family's 1831-position model. The record is from RNAcentral.